This 253-nucleotide ribosomal RNA is filed under the name uncultured bacterium. Its description in RNAcentral is "partial 16S ribosomal RNA". It matches the Rfam family "Bacterial small subunit ribosomal RNA", at positions 524 to 776 of the family's 1533-position model. The record is from RNAcentral.
CACGGGGGGAGCAAGCGUUGUUCGGAAUCACUGGGCGUAAAGGGCGUGUAGGCGGUCAAGUAAGUGGGAUGUGAAAUCCCUCGGCUCACCCGAGGACCUGCAUCCCAAACUGCUUGGCUUGAGUAUGGGAGAGGAUGAGGGAAUUCCUGGUGUAGCGGUGAAAUGCGCAGAUAUCGGGAGGGACACCGGUGGCGAAGGCGGUUCUCUGGGCCUGUACUGACGCUGAGGAGCGAAAGCGUGGGGAGCGAACAGG